CCAGUAAAUAUAUAUGGUACUUUAAUAAAUAAACACGUUACAAUUAUAUCAGGCAGUGUAUCAAUUAGUGACAUGGUGAAUAUCACUGUUACUGUAACUGUAUGUACUCAGUAUGGUUGUACAGUUUCUGUUCACUAUGUGAGAAUUGUAUCAGAAGAUCAAAGGACAAAAUCAUUGGAUUCAACAAAGGAGGACGAACCCUCACCUGAAAUCAACAUAGGGCUGAUUAGUGGAGUGAUUGUAUCUAUAGUAUUAAUAUUACUUGUCGGUUUUAUUAUCUUCAUGGUGGUCAGAAAAAAACGACAGCCUAAUCAAGAAAAUUUGACGUACAGUGGAUUAGAGAUUGGUCCUGAGAUUGGUAGGUUAGAAUCAACCUAUGACGAUUUAAGAACCUAUGUUUACGUAAGAUCUCCUCCUAAUGACCAAGGUGUAGCUAACACUUCAAGUCACGGCCCUCCUGUCCCGGAAGCAGCUAAUACUUCAAAUGACCACCUCCCUGUCUCACGCGAAGUCCUCAACAACUCAACUUAUGACGGUCUUCGGACAACCAAUGAUGUGAGAAUUUACGACACUCUGAACCCUGCUGAAAAAACAUACGAAAACAUACAGGACUCAAAUGAAAUGUAGUAUUUCGUAGUUGGAGCCCAUUUACGAAGCCUGUAUAAAAUUGUAAAUAACAUACAAGUUAGGUAUCCGGAGUUUAAACUGAAGAUGACUUAACUACCAAAUUUAGAUGUUCCCAUACCAGUGUUUUAUUUUUAAUCUAAAGAAUUCAAUUAUUAACGUGUUUUAUACGUGUUUUAACGCUUUAAGGAGA
Long non-coding RNA from Patella vulgata (common limpet), 817 nucleotides. RefSeq lists it as uncharacterized. NCBI's taxonomy places the organism in Eukaryota, Metazoa, Mollusca, Gastropoda, Patellidae. The record is from RefSeq and is a predicted model, not a curated record. The transcript has 3 exons.